AAUGAACGCUGGCGGCGUGCCUAACACAUGCAAGUCGUACGAGAAAGGGGCUUCGGCCCUGAGUAGAGUGGCGCACGGGUGAGUAACGCGUGGGUAAUCUACCCCUGUAUUUGGAAUAACCCACCGAAAGGUGAGCUAAUACCGGAUACGUUUAUCUUGAUGCGAAUGAUGAUAAAGAAAGGUGGCCUCUUCAUGAAAGCUACUGUACAGGGAUGAGCUUGCGUACCAUUAGCUAGUUGGUAGGGUAAUGGCCUACCAAGGCGACGAUGGUUAGCGGGUCUGAGAGGAUGAUCCGCCACACUGGAACUGGAACACGGACCAGACUCCUACGGGUGGCUG
RNAcentral lists this ribosomal RNA (339 nucleotides) under uncultured Pseudomonadota bacterium. Its description in RNAcentral is "bacterial SSU rRNA". It matches the Rfam family "Bacterial small subunit ribosomal RNA", at positions 29 to 351 of the family's 1533-position model. The record is from RNAcentral. Lineage: Bacteria; Pseudomonadati; Pseudomonadota.